AGCGAACGCUGGCGGCAGGCCUAACACAUGCAAGUCGAACGAACCUUUCGGGGUUAGUGGCGGACGGGUGAGUAACACGUGGGAACGUGCCUUUAGGUUCGGAAUAACUCAGGGAAACUUGUGCUAAUACCGAAUGUGCCCUUCGGGGGAAAGAUUUAUCGCCUUUAGAGCGGCCCGCGUCUGAUUAGCUAGUUGGUUGAGGUAAUGGCUCACCAAGGCGACGAUCAGUAGCUGGUCUGAGAGGAUGAUCAGCCACAUUGGGACUGAGACACGGCCCAAACUCCUACGGGAGGCAGCAGUGGGGAAUCUUGCGCAAUGGGCGAAAGCCUGACGCAGCCAUGCCGCGUGAAUGAUGAAGGUCUUAGGAUUGUAAAAUUCUUUCACCGGGGACGAUAAUGACGGUACCCAGAGAAGAAGCCCCGGCUAACUUCGUG
This 434-nucleotide ribosomal RNA is filed under the name uncultured bacterium. Its description in RNAcentral is "partial 16S ribosomal RNA". It matches the Rfam family "Bacterial small subunit ribosomal RNA", at positions 29 to 507 of the family's 1533-position model. The record is from RNAcentral.